This 292-nucleotide ribosomal RNA is filed under the name uncultured bacterium. RNAcentral describes it as "partial 16S ribosomal RNA". It matches the Rfam family "Bacterial small subunit ribosomal RNA", at positions 505 to 796 of the family's 1533-position model. The record is from RNAcentral.
GUGCCAGCAGCCGCGGUAAUACGUAGGGUGCGAGCGUUAAUCGGAAUUACUGGGCGUAAAGCGUGCGUAGGCGGUUCGUUAAGUUCGUUGUGAAAGCCCCGGGCUCAACCUGGGAACUGCAAUGGAAACUGGCGGGCUUGAGUGUGGCAGAGGGGGGUGGAAUUCCGCGUGUAGCAGUGAAAUGCGUAGAGAUGCGGAGGAACACCGAUGGCGAAGGCAGCCCCCUGGGCCAACACUGACGCUCAGGCACGAAAGCGUGGGGAGCAAACAGGAUUAGAUACCCUGGUAGUCC